This 468-nucleotide ribosomal RNA is filed under the name uncultured bacterium. Its description in RNAcentral is "partial 16S ribosomal RNA". It matches the Rfam family "Bacterial small subunit ribosomal RNA", at positions 28 to 507 of the family's 1533-position model. The record is from RNAcentral.
GACGAACGCUGGCGGCAUGCUUAACACAUGCAAGUCGAACGGAAGGGCCCUGCUUUUUUGGGGUGCUCGAGUGGCGAACGUGUGUGUAACCCGUGAGUAUCCUGCCCUUGAGCGUGGGAUAUCUUCAGACAACUGCUGAUACUGCCGGCUAGGAGCUGCUGCAGCAUGGUGGGGUUUGGAACGUAUCGGCGGUUGUGGAUGGACUCGCGGCUUAUUAGCUUGUUGGUUGGGUAUUGGCUUACCCAGGCAUUGACUGGUAGCCGGCCUGGGAGGGUGACCGGGCACCUGGGGCCUGCGAGACGGCCCAGACUGCUAUGGUAGGCAGCAGUCGGGAAUAUUGCACAACGGGCGGAAGCCUGAUGCAGCAACGCCGCGUUCGUGAUGACGUCCUUCUUGUGGUAAACCGCUUUCGCCUGUGACGAAGCGUGAGUGACGUUAAUGGGUAAAGAAGCACCGGCUAACUACGUG